RNAcentral lists this non-coding RNA (21 nucleotides) under Caenorhabditis elegans. The record is from RNAcentral. Lineage: Eukaryota; Metazoa; Nematoda; Chromadorea; Rhabditida; Rhabditidae.
UCAAACUAAAUAAGGCUUGGA